This is a long non-coding RNA of Ictalurus punctatus (channel catfish), 1315 nucleotides long. NCBI's taxonomy places the organism in Eukaryota, Metazoa, Chordata, Actinopteri, Siluriformes, Ictaluridae. The record is from Ensembl.
AUCACUUACGCCAUUUUAACGCUUCUUCUCCGUCUCUUAUUGGUCGGUUUUCUUCAUCUCCUACAUCCGAUGCGCCACAGAUUUGUAGCGCAUUACCGCCACCUAGUGACUCGGAGAUGUGCGGUGCCUCUUUACUGCGCAUGCGUAAACAUGUUACCGCGCGAUUCAAUCCUCCGCGCAUGCGCAAAUAACAAUCAUGUAAUAUGAGCCCCACCCACUACGUAUGACCACAACCCAAGCUUUGCGACAUCCUAAGAAUCUUCCGUAUAAAUCUUUAGUUUAGUACUGACCAGUACUACUGAAUUUUAGGUCUGUACCACCUACGGUUUGGUGCACAAGAUCAGUUUUUGCAGAGAAAAUUAAUAAAUGAAUAAUAAAGAGUAACAAGAGAAACUUCCUUUGAGGGCGAAAAUGAAAAUAAACCUACGCUAUAACUCGUAACCCUGUGCCAUACCACGCAUGCGCACUAGCGCCCCUGGCAACUUAGCUUUGCGCAUGCGUAGGUGCUUAAACAUAGCGCGCAUGCGCAGUUCGGGUCGGGCAGGGGACGCUGAUGUUUGUUGCAGAAGCAGAAAAGCUCCGUAAAAACAUUGGACUAUUAGAAAAUAUCUAAAAUAUCGGCGAGUCCGUUUGUGCUUCCGAGUCGCUGUCCUUCCACGCAGCAUUCACGCAAAACUAAACUCAGGCUUGUUGAAGUCAAAUUCUUUGUGCACUAACUGCAAGUGUCUGAGCACACAGCUGCAUUUGUACGCGGUCCACGAUGCAGAUCCACCCAGAUCCAGAGAACGUCCUCGUCAUGACAGUCUCGCUGCCUCGACUGGUUCAGCGGCAGUGAGACAGGUCAAAUGUCUGGUCAUGUGACCUGUCCGGGGAGCACAUAGUACACUCCGUGUAAUACACAAACGUACAGUGUUCAUGUACAUGUUAGAAAUAUUUAGCUGUUCAUCAUUAAAAUGUUGUUGAUUUAGUGACGCUUCUGUAGAGUUUAACGUUGACCCGAGCGGUCCGGUCCUGCUGCUCAGUUCUGCACACUGAGUGCUUGUGAGAGUCCGUGUGGUUGUUAUAGCAGCGCUGGAGUUGUGCUGGUUUGUUGGAACGGAGACGAUGCAAUAGAUUUCAGAGAAACUCUGCUGUCAUUCACUUCCCCCUUUUCUCUCUCCGUCUCUCUCUACCUCUCGCUGUCUCUCUCUCUCUCUGUUUCUCAUUCUGUGUCCUCACUUUAAUAGUGCUAAUGGACACGGUUCAAAGACAUUAUGCUCACAAAUGCACUCUAAACAUCUUGAAAUCUUUAGUCUCUCUCACUCAUAUACACACA